This 429-nucleotide ribosomal RNA is filed under the name Gemmatimonadota bacterium. RNAcentral describes it as "Gemmatimonadetes bacterium partial 16S ribosomal RNA". It matches the Rfam family "Bacterial small subunit ribosomal RNA", at positions 355 to 776 of the family's 1533-position model. The record is from RNAcentral. Lineage: Bacteria; Pseudomonadati; Gemmatimonadota.
UAGGGAAUCUUCGGCAAUGGACGAAAGUCUGACCGAGCAACGCCGCGUGAGUGAAGAAGGGUUUCGGAUCGUAAAACUCUGUUGUUAGAGAAGAAAAAGGACGUUAGUAACUGAACGUCCCCUGACGGUAUCUAACCAGAAAGCCACGGCUAACUACGUGCCAGCAGCCGCGGUAAUACGUAGGUGGCAAGCGUUGUCCGGAUUUAUUGGGCGUAAAGCGAGCGCAGGCGGUUUCUUAAGUCUGAUGUGAAAGCCCCCGGCUCAACCGGGGAGGGUCAUUGGAAACUGGGAGACUUGAGUGCAGAAGAGGAGAGUGGAAUUCCAUGUGUAGCGGUGAAAUGCGUAGAUAUAUGGAGGAACACCAGUGGCGAAGGCGGCUCUCUGGUCUGUAACUGACGCUGAGGCUCGAAAGCGUGGGGAGCAAACAGG